GACGAACGCUGGCGGCGUGCCUAAUACAUGCAAGUGGAACGCAUUUUGAUUACCGUAGCUUGCUACACCGAUUAAAAUGAGUCGCGAACGGGUGAGUAACGCGUAGGUAACCUACCUCAUAGCGGGGGACAACUAUUGGAAACGAUAGCUAAUACCGCAUAAGACAUUUUAUCGCAUGAUAGGAUGUUAAAAGAUGCAACUGCAUCACUAUGAGAUGGACCUGCGUUGUAUUAGCUAGUUGGUGAGGUAACGGCUCACCAAGGCUGCGAUACAUAGCCGACCUGAGAGGGUGAUCGGCCACACUGGGACUGAGACACGGCCCAGACUCCUACGGGAGGCAGCAGUAGGGAAUCUUCGGCAAUGGGGGCAACCCUGACCGAGCAACGCCGCGUGAGUGAAGAAGGUUUUCGGAUCGUAAAGCUCUGUUGUAAGCGAAGAACAGUGAUAGGAGUGGAAAAUCUAUCACAUGACGGUAGCUUACCAGAAAGGGACGGCUAACUACGUGCCAGCAGCCGCGGUAAUACGUAGGUCUCGAGCGUUGUCCGGAUUUAUUGGGCGUAAAGCGAGCGCAGGCGGUUAGAUAAGUCAGAAGUUAAAGGCUGUGGCUCAACCAUAGUACGCUUUUGAAACUGUUUAACUUGAGUGCAGAAGGGGAGAGUGGAAUUUCCAUGUGUAGCGGUGAAAUGCGUAGAUAUAUGGAGGAACACCGGUGGCGAAAGCGGCUCUCUGGUCUGUCACUGACGCUGAGGCUCGAAAGCGUGGGUAGCGAACAGGAUUAGAUACCCUGGUAGUCCACGCCGUAAACGAUGAGUGCUAGGUGUUAGGCCCUUUCCGGGGCUUAGUGCCGCAGCUAACGCAUUAAGCACUCCGCCUGGGGGGUACGACCGCAAGGUUGAAACUCAAAGGAAUUGACGGGGGCCCGCACAAGCGGUGGAGCAUGUGGUUUAAUUCGAAGCAACGCGAAGAACCUUACCAGGUCUUGACAUCCCUCUGACCGGUCUAGAGAUAGACUUUCCCUUCGGGGCAGAGGAGACAGGUGGUGCAUGGUUGUCGUCAGCUCGUGUCGUGAGAUGUUGGGUUAAGUCCCGCAACGAGCGCAACCCUUAUUGUUAGUUGCCAUCAUUAAGUUGGGCACUCUAGCGAGACUGCCGGUAAUAAAUCGGAGGAAGGUGGGGAUGACGUCAAAUCAUCAUGCCCCUUAUGACCUGGGCUACACACGUGCUACAAUGGUUGGUACAACGAGUCGCAAGCCGGUGACGGCAAGCUAAUCUCUUAAAGCUAAUCUCAGUUCGGAUUGUAGGCUGCAACUCGCCUACAUGAAGUCGGAAUCGCUAGUAAUCGCGGAUCAGCACGCCGCGGUGAAUACGUUCCCGGGCCU
RNAcentral lists this ribosomal RNA (1378 nucleotides) under uncultured bacterium. Its description in RNAcentral is "partial 16S ribosomal RNA". It matches the Rfam family "Bacterial small subunit ribosomal RNA", at positions 28 to 1381 of the family's 1533-position model. The record is from RNAcentral.